Molecule: ribosomal RNA, 813 nt
Filed under: uncultured bacterium
Lineage: Bacteria
Description: bacterial SSU rRNA
Rfam family: Bacterial small subunit ribosomal RNA
Source: RNAcentral
GGCGGAUUAGUAAGUCAGCGGUGAAAGUUUGCAGCUAACUGUAAAAUUGCCAUUGAUACUGCUAGUCUUGAAUGUUUGUGAGUAGCUAGAAUAUGUAGUGUAGCGGUGAAAUGCUAGAUAUUACAUGGAAUACCAAUUGCGAAGGCAGGUUACUAACAAUGAUUGACGCUGAUGGACGAAAGCGUGGGUAGCGAACAGGAUAGAUACCCUGGUAGUCCACGCCGUAAACGAUGGAUACUAGCUGUUUGGUCGUAAGACUGAGUGGCUAAGCGAAAGUGAUAAGUAUCCCACCUGGGGAGUACGUUCGCAAGAAUGAAACUCAAAGGAAUUGACGGGGGCCCGCACAAGCGGUGGAGCAUGUGGUUUAAUUCGAUGAUACGCGAGGAACCUUACCAGGGCUUAAAUGUAGUCUGACAGGCGUGGAAACAUGCUUUUCUUCGGACAGAUUACAAGGUGCUGCAUGGUUGUCGUCAGCUCGUGCCGUGAGGUGUCAGGUUAAGUCCUAUAACGAGCGCAACCCCUGUUGUUAGUUGCCAGCGAGUAAUGUCGGGAACUCUAACAAGACUGCCGGUGCAAACCGUGAGGAAGGUGGGGAUGACGUCAAAUCAUCACGGCCCUUACGUCCUGGGCCACACACGUGCUACAAUGGCCGGUACAGAGAGCAGCCACUUAGCGAUAAGGAGCGAAUCUAUAAAGCCGGUCACAGUUCGGAUUGGAGUCUGCAACUCGACUCUAUGAAGCUGGAAUCGCUAGUAAUCGGAUAUCAGCCAUGAUCCGGUGAAUACGUUCCCGGGCCUUGUACACACCGCCCGU